Molecule: non-coding RNA, 78 nt
Organism: Flavobacterium reichenbachii
Lineage: Bacteria; Pseudomonadati; Bacteroidota; Flavobacteriia; Flavobacteriales; Flavobacteriaceae
Source: Rfam
UUUUAGCCCCGAUAGCAGUGGAAAUCCUUUUGUGCCGGGGUUCGGCACAAAAGAUUGGAACGGAUAGCGGGAAAAAGC